GUGGAUUAGAUACCCUGGUAGUCCACGCCGUAAACUAUGAUUACUCGAUGUGUGCGAUACACUGUACGCGUCCAAGCGAAAGCGUUAAGUAAUCCACCUGGGGAGUACGAUCGCAAGAUUGAAACUCAAAGGAAUUGACGGGGGCCCGCACAAGCGGAGGAGCAUGUGGUUUAAUUCGAUGAUACGCGAGGAACCUUACCUGGGCUUGAAAGUUAGUGAAUGAUCUGGAAACAGGUCAGACCGCAAGGACACGAAACUAGGUGCUGCACGGCCGUCGACAGCU
Molecule: ribosomal RNA, 283 nt
Filed under: uncultured bacterium
Lineage: Bacteria
Description: partial 16S ribosomal RNA
Rfam family: Bacterial small subunit ribosomal RNA
Source: RNAcentral